Molecule: ribosomal RNA, 468 nt
Filed under: uncultured bacterium
Lineage: Bacteria
Description: partial 16S ribosomal RNA
Rfam family: Bacterial small subunit ribosomal RNA
Source: RNAcentral
GACGAACGCUGGCGGCGUGCUUAACACAUGCCAGUCGAACGGAAAGGCCCUGCUUUUGUGGGGUGCUCGAGUGGCGAACGGGUGAGUAACACGUGAGUAACCUGCCCUUGACUUUGGGAUAACUUCAGGAAACUGGGGCUAAUACCGGAUAGGAGCUCCUGCUGCAUGGUGGGGGUUGGAAAGUUUCGGCGGUUGGGGAUGGACUCGCGGCUUAUCAGCUUGUUGGUGGGGUAGUGGCUUACCAAGGCUUUGACGGGUAGCCGGCCUGAGAGGGUGACCGGCCACAUUGGGACUGAGAUACGGCCCAGGCUCCUACGGGAGGCAGCAGUGGGGAAUAUUGCACAAUGGGCGGAAGCCUGAUGCAGCAACGCCGCGUGCGGGAUGACGGCCUUCGGGUUGUAAACCGCUUUCGCCUGUGACGAAGCGUGAGUGACGGUAAUGGGUAAAGAAGCACCGGCUAACUACGUG